GAGUUUGUCAGGGAUAGCGAGAACUGCUAAUUACUCGCCACUAUAGUUCAAUUCUAUAGCCAACUCG
RNAcentral lists this transfer RNA (67 nucleotides) under Alsodes gargola (Tonchek spiny-chest frog). RNAcentral's name for it is "tRNA-Ser". Lineage: Eukaryota; Metazoa; Chordata; Amphibia; Anura; Alsodidae. The record is from RNAcentral.